RNAcentral lists this ribosomal RNA (516 nucleotides) under uncultured bacterium. Its description in RNAcentral is "partial 16S ribosomal RNA". It matches the Rfam family "Bacterial small subunit ribosomal RNA", at positions 28 to 523 of the family's 1533-position model. The record is from RNAcentral.
GACGAACGCUGGCGGCGUGCCUAAUACAUGCAAGUCGAGCGGACUUGAUGAAGUGCUUGCACUUCUGAUGGUUAGCGGCGGACGGGUGAGUAACACGUAGGUCACCUGCCUAUAAGACUGGGAUAACAUUCGGAAACGAAUGCUAAUACCGGAUACGCGAAUUGGUCGCAUGGCCGAAUCGGGAAAGACGGAGCAAUCUGUCACUUAUAGAUGGACCUGCGGCGCAUUAGCUAGUUGGUGAGGUAACGGCUCACCAAGGCGACGAUGCGUAGCCGACCUGAGAGGGUGAUCGGCCACACUGGGACUGAGACACGGCCCAGACUCCUACGGGAGGCAGCAGUAGGGAAUCUUCCGCAAUGGACGAAAGCCUGACGGAGCAACGCCGCGUGAGUGAUGAAGGUUUUCGGAUCGUAAAGCUCUGUUGCCAGGGAAGAACGCUUGGGAGAGUAACUGCUCUCAAGGUGACGGUACCUGAGAAGAAAGCCCCGGCUAACUACGUGCCAGCAGCCGCCGUAA